This is an unclassified non-coding RNA of Dipodomys ordii (Ord's kangaroo rat), 316 nucleotides long. Its record names the gene 7SK. It matches the Rfam family "7SK RNA". From Rfam's summary of the family: 7SK was discovered as an abundant small nuclear RNA in the mid-70s but a possible function has only recently been suggested. Two independent studies have found that 7SK RNA binds the CDK9/cyclin T complex (known as elongation factor P-TEFb). Lineage: Eukaryota; Metazoa; Chordata; Mammalia; Rodentia; Heteromyidae. The record is from Ensembl.
AGCUUGUGUGGGCAACCUGGCAGCGCACCUGUCACCCCAUUGAUCUCCAGGGAUGAUUUGGUUGAUCUGAUUGGCCAGACUGAGGCCCUCUUCCUCCCUACCUCUCUCUCUAUCGGCAUCCCUCCCAACGCUGUCAGAGACAGAUGGCUUUUCCUGUUGCAGGAGGACUGUUGUUCACUGCAUAUGCAUACCUAUGCUUCUCUCCUAGCACCUUCAAAUAAGCUCUGUAGAGUGAACUCCUGGACUGGGGAUAUGGCUCACGUGGUGGAGUGACUGCCUAGCAAAUAUAAGACCCUGAGUUCAAAGAUUGUUACUA